UCCGCAGGGGGCCCUCCAAGCCCGCCGUGAAAUCCCGGGGCUCAACCCCGGGCGUGCGGCGGGGACUGGCGGGCUGGAGUGCGCGAUGGGCAGACGGAACACCAGGUGUAGCGGUGGAAUGCGUGGAUAUCUGGUGGAACACCGAUGGCGAAGGCGGUCUGCUGGCGCGUCACUGACCCUCAGGGACGAAAGCGUGGGUAGCAAAACA
This 208-nucleotide ribosomal RNA is filed under the name uncultured bacterium. Its description in RNAcentral is "partial 16S ribosomal RNA". It matches the Rfam family "Bacterial small subunit ribosomal RNA", at positions 568 to 775 of the family's 1533-position model. The record is from RNAcentral.